Molecule: long non-coding RNA, 276 nt
Filed under: Capsicum annuum
Lineage: Eukaryota; Viridiplantae; Streptophyta; Magnoliopsida; Solanales; Solanaceae
Description: long non-coding RNA (CANN_LNC006563)
Source: RNAcentral
AGCAAAAUAGUAGUAGAGAUAGCUGACAAUGAUCGAAGAAGAAAAAUUAAGAUAAUUCAUAUUCUACGAUGAGUAUCCUAUACUCUAAUUUGACUAAUGAUCUCUGUUUUUUGAAUGAAAAUAGGUUUAAGGCCUAGCAUGCCCAGUCUCAGGCCAGUGAGGCUCAGUCAACUCUAUUUUACCCCCUUACAGAUUUUGUGGGUAAACGCAUUGUGGUUUUUUUACGAGGGGAGGAAUAAGUGUUUCAAAUAUGUCCAGUGUGGUCAUAUUCAGAGG